This 625-nucleotide ribosomal RNA is filed under the name Bacillus sp. 4-5-10F. Its description in RNAcentral is "bacterial SSU rRNA". It matches the Rfam family "Bacterial small subunit ribosomal RNA", at positions 69 to 677 of the family's 1533-position model. Lineage: Bacteria; Bacillati; Bacillota; Bacilli; Caryophanales; Bacillaceae. The record is from RNAcentral.
GGAUUAAGAGCUUGCUCUUAUGAAGUUAGCGGCGGACGGGUGAGUAACACGUGGGUAACCUGCCCAUAAGACUGGGAUAACUCCGGGAAACCGGGGCUAAUACCGGAUAACAUUUUGAACUGCAUGGUUCGAAAUUGAAAGGCGGCUUCGGCUGUCACUUAUGGAUGGACCCGCGUCGCAUUAGCUAGUUGGUGAGGUAACGGCUCACCAAGGCAACGAUGCGUAGCCGACCUGAGAGGGUGAUCGGCCACACUGGGACUGAGACACGGCCCAGACUCCUACGGGAGGCAGCAGUAGGGAAUCUUCCGCAAUGGACGAAAGUCUGACGGAGCAACGCCGCGUGAGUGAUGAAGGCUUUCGGGUCGUAAAACUCUGUUGUUAGGGAAGAACAAGUGCUAGUUGAAUAAGCUGGCACCUUGACGGUACCUAACCAGAAAGCCACGGCUAACUACGUGCCAGCAGCCGCGGUAAUACGUAGGUGGCAAGCGUUAUCCGGAAUUAUUGGGCGUAAAGCGCGCGCAGGUGGUUUCUUAAGUCUGAUGUGAAAGCCCACGGCUCAACCGUGGAGGGUCAUUGGAAACUGGGAGACUUGAGUGCAGAAGAGGAAAGUGGAAUUCCAUGUGUA